RNAcentral lists this ribosomal RNA (749 nucleotides) under uncultured deep-sea bacterium. Its description in RNAcentral is "bacterial SSU rRNA". It matches the Rfam family "Bacterial small subunit ribosomal RNA", at positions 66 to 795 of the family's 1533-position model. The record is from RNAcentral.
ACGAGAAAGUUCCUUCGGGGACGAGUAAAGUGGCGAACGGGUGAGUAAUGCGUGGAUGACCUACCUUGAUGACUGGGAUAACUACUCGAAAGGGUAGAUAAUACCGGAUGUGAUCCAUGGUUUUUGGACCGUGAAUGAAAGGUGGCCUCUGUUUCAAGCUGCCGCAUCGAGAGGGGUUCACGUGCUAUUAGCUUGUUGGUGGGGUAACGGCCUACCAAGGCGAUGAUGGCUAGCCGGCCUGAGAGGGUGUCCGGCCACACUGGGACUGAGACACUGCCCAGACUCCUACGGGAGGCUGCAGUCGAGAAUCUUCCACUAAUGUGCGAAAGCAUGAUGGAGCGACGCCGCGUGGGGGAUGAAGGCCUUCGGGUUGUAAACUCCUGUCACAUGGUCCUAAAACCGCAGAGUUAAUACCUCUUGCGACUGAAGUGCCAUGAGAGGAAGCACCGGCUAAAUUCGUGCCAGCAGCCGCGGUAAUACGAAUGGUGCAAGCGUUGUUCGGAAUCACUGGGCAUAAAGCGCACGUAGGCGGUGGUGUAAGUCAGCUGUGAAAUCCCUCGGCUCAACCGAGGAACUGCAGCUGAAACUGCGCCGCUCGAGGGCGGGAGGGGAGAACGGAAUUCCUGGUGGAGCGGUGAAAUGCGUAGAUAUCAGGAGGAACGCCGGAGGCGAAAGCGGUUCUCUGGUCCGCAACUGACGCUGAGGUGCGAAAGCUAGGGGAGCAAACAGGAUUAGAUACCCUGGUAGUC